ACUCAUACCUUGCAGGGGAAAUGCCAUGUCAUAAAUGUGGUUUUCCUAGGGGGAGGUUCAUCCAUUGCACUUUGGGUAUGCUGAUCCCUAUGAUUUCCCCAAAUGUGGGAAACUCAACUGCAUAAUUUAUGUCAAUGGGAGAUUGUACUUGUGAUUAACCCUG
This 163-nucleotide small nuclear RNA is filed under the name Pogona vitticeps (central bearded dragon). Its description in RNAcentral is "U1 spliceosomal RNA (ENSPVIG00000005389.1)". It matches the Rfam family "U1 spliceosomal RNA". Rfam says of the family: U1 is a small nuclear RNA (snRNA) component of the spliceosome (involved in pre-mRNA splicing). Its 5' end forms complementary base pairs with the 5' splice junction, thus defining the 5' donor site of an intron. Lineage: Eukaryota; Metazoa; Chordata; Lepidosauria; Squamata; Agamidae. The record is from Rfam by way of RNAcentral.